Molecule: ribosomal RNA, 425 nt
Filed under: uncultured rumen bacterium
Lineage: Bacteria
Description: bacterial SSU rRNA
Rfam family: Bacterial small subunit ribosomal RNA
Source: RNAcentral
GUGGGGAAUAUUGGUCAAUGGGCGGAAGCCUGAACCAGCCAUGCCGCGUGCAGGAAUAAGGCCCUACGGGUCGUAAACUGCUUUUGUACGGGAGCAAUAAGGGCCACGUGUGACCUGAUGAGAGUACCGUACGAAUAAGCAUCGGCUAACUCCGUGCCAGCAGCCGCGGUAAUACGGAGGAUGCGAGCGUUAUCCGGAUUCAUUGGGUUUAAAGGGUGCGUAGGCGGCGUGCCAAGUCAGGGGUGAAAGGUUCCGGCUCAACUGGGACAGUGCCUUUGAUACUGGUGUGCUGGAGUGCGCUUGCCGUGGGAGGAAUGAGUGGUGUAGCGGUGAAAUGCUUAGAUAUCACUCAGAACACCGAUUGCGAAGGCAUCUCACGAAGGCGUAACUGACGCUGAGGCACGAAAGCGUGGGGAUCAAACAGG